This 222-nucleotide long non-coding RNA is filed under the name Lathyrus oleraceus (garden pea). RNAcentral's name for it is "Pisum sativum (pea) long non-coding RNA (PSAT_LNC040671)". The record is from RNAcentral. Lineage: Eukaryota; Viridiplantae; Streptophyta; Magnoliopsida; Fabales; Fabaceae.
CUUCGUUCUCUCCAGCAGCAGUUUCCCAGCAUGGGUGUUUUCUUGAGAAGUUUCGGUGGUUGAUGAUUUGUUACCUUGGUGCCCCGUCACUCUCUCCAGUGGGUCAUAUCCCCAGACUUUAUUUGUCUCCUCAGCACAAAUAACUGAUUGAUUGGUACUUCCCUCGGAGUCGCGAGUAGAACUGUUAUUAAUAUCCCCACCAGGGUUGCAAGUGGAGUUGUU